UACGUAGGUGGCAAGCGUUGUCCGGAUUUACUGGGCGUAAAGCGCGCGCAGGCGGACUGAUCAGUCUGGGGUGAAAUCUCCCGGCUCAACUGGGAGCGGUCCCUGGAUACUGUCAGUCUUGAGAGACCUAGAGGAGAGCGGAAUUCCCGGUGUAGUGGUGGAAUGCGUAGAUAUCGGGAAGAAACACCAGUGGCGAAAGCGGCUCUCUGGGGGUUUUCUGACGCUGAGGCGCGAAAGCGUGGGGAGCGAACCGG
RNAcentral lists this ribosomal RNA (254 nucleotides) under uncultured bacterium. RNAcentral describes it as "partial 16S ribosomal RNA". It matches the Rfam family "Bacterial small subunit ribosomal RNA", at positions 524 to 776 of the family's 1533-position model. The record is from RNAcentral.